UACGGGGGGGGCAAGCGUUGUUCGGAAUUACUGGGCGUAAAGGGCUCGUAGGCGGCCAACUAAGUCAGACGUGAAAUCCCUCGGCUUAACCGGGGAACUGCGUCUGAUACUGGAUGGCUUGAAUCCGGGAGAGGGAUGCGGAAUUCCAGGUGUAGCGGUGAAAUGCGUAGAUAUCGGGAGGAACACCAGUGGCGAAGGCGGUUGCCUGGAGCUUUGCUGACGCUGAGACGCGAAAGCGUAGGGAGCAAACAGG
This 253-nucleotide ribosomal RNA is filed under the name uncultured bacterium. RNAcentral describes it as "partial 16S ribosomal RNA". It matches the Rfam family "Bacterial small subunit ribosomal RNA", at positions 524 to 776 of the family's 1533-position model. The record is from RNAcentral.